Molecule: long non-coding RNA, 312 nt
Filed under: Nicotiana benthamiana
Lineage: Eukaryota; Viridiplantae; Streptophyta; Magnoliopsida; Solanales; Solanaceae
Description: long non-coding RNA (NBEN_LNC020822)
Source: RNAcentral
UCAGGUAAGAAUGAUGACCAGGACACCAACAGACCCAAAUUAGAGCUCAACACAUUGAGGGGAAAAGGAAUGGGAAAACAAUUUGGUAAAGACUCAAAAAGGCUAGUCCUGGAUCACAUACAUCAAUUCAUAGUGCUGCUACGACCCAGGACAAACUCACAUACAAAGGGAAUAGGGGAAAGAGAUUAACAUGCUUGAAAGUAAUUAAAUAGUGCAGGAAAGCAUAAAUGAGCACACAAAGAAAGGGGUAGAAGCAGAGAAAUUGAACAAGGCUGCUAUUUAACAUAAAGAACAUACCAGUUAUAAAGUUUA